Molecule: ribosomal RNA, 433 nt
Filed under: uncultured bacterium
Lineage: Bacteria
Description: partial 16S ribosomal RNA
Rfam family: Bacterial small subunit ribosomal RNA
Source: RNAcentral
AGCGAACGCUGGCGGCAGGCUUAACACAUGCAAGUCGAGCGGGCCCUUCGGGGUCAGCGGCGGACGGGUGAGUAACGCGUGGGAAUGUGCCUUCUGGUCUGGAAUAACCCUGGGAAACUAGGGCUAAUACCGGAUACGCCCUUUUGGGGAAAGGUUUACUGCCGGAAGAUCGGCCCGCGUCUGAUUAGCUAGUUGGUGGGGUAACGGCCUACCAAGGCGACGAUCAGUAGCUGGUCUGAGAGGAUGAUCAGCCACACUGGGACUGAGACACGGCCCAGACUCCUACGGGAGGCAGCAGUGGGGAAUAUUGGACAAUGGGCGCAAGCCUGAUCCAGCCAUGCCGCGUGAGUGAUGAAGGCCUUAGGGUUGUAAAGCUCUUUUAUCCGGGACGAUAAUGACGGUACCCGAGGAAUAAGCCCCGGCUAACUUCGUG